Long non-coding RNA from Ictalurus punctatus (channel catfish), 1144 nucleotides. The record is from Ensembl. Lineage: Eukaryota; Metazoa; Chordata; Actinopteri; Siluriformes; Ictaluridae.
UGAAAGGGUGUGUACACUGGUGUGUUUCUGAUUGUUUUUUUCACUUAAUUUUUUUACGUUAUAAUUAACAUCGCGGGCGGAAAAGGUUCUGAGACGAUUUAUCUUGGUUUCAUUUUUUUACAUCACAAAAAAAUCCAUUUUAACAGGGGUGUGUAGGCCUUUUAACAUCCACUGUAUAUCUAUAACAGAACAAGAGAGUCUUUCACCUGAAAGAGUCGAACCAAAGUGCUGAUUCAAAGUGCCGAGGCUCAGAGAUCCGUGACGAGACGGUUGGCUCUAAACUGAAAUGCAGUAAUCUAAAAAUACAUGUCCUCUUCAGCUGUUCUCCUCGCUGCCUGCAGCUGAAAACCUGCUCACGCGCUCAAACAUCCCUCCGACCGAGCAGCUUUAUUCAACACUUCAGCAGAAUCAGGAAAUGCUGUACGUUACGUUACUCCAAACAGUUCAGUACCGCAGCGUAAAUACUCACGCAGAACUUUUAUAAUCUUUCAAUUCUCACCUCGAGAACCAGACGACGUCUCAAACUUCUGCAGACAUGUUCUUCUUCCUCUCAUAUUUCUGUUAUACAGAGCACAUCAACCACAGAGUCACACACACACACACACACACACACACACACACACACUCCUACACACAGGAAGCACACUUUUGUUCAGCUGAGCUGACUGUCACUUUCAAUGAAAGACAUCACUCUCUGUAUUUCUGCAGUUUGCUUUAUUUAUUUAUUUGUUUGUUUGUUUGUUUGUUUAUAUUCUACUCUCAUUUCUAUUAGAGACCAGAUCACUGAUAAUUGUAGGGUUAGCAAAACACUUCUGAAUUUUACAGUUUAAAAGGAAAUUUUCCUCAAAAGUUAAAAGCAUCAGGUUUUCUCAGCAUCCUGUGUGUGUGUGUGUGUGUGUGUGUGUGUGUGUGUGUGUGCUAAAUCUUACAGUAAUGCAGCUCAGCCACUGCAGCUUCUUCCUCUUCUUUUAUACGGUGCCAAUACUUUUUUGUCUUAACAGAGCUGCUAGUCUUACUUGUGGUAAUAUAUGGCGUGGAUGUGAUACGAGGCGUGGAUGUGAUGUAUGGCGUGGAUUGAUAUGAGGCGUGGAUGUAAUGUAUGGCGUGGAUGUGAUACGAGGCGUGGAUGUGAUGUAUGGCGUGG